UCCACCUCUUUCCCUUGACCCAGCACUACACCUACCAGUACAUAUUUUUGCUUUGGAUGUCAGAUUCACCACAAUAUAUUAAUUUUGUGAUUUAAUUGGAAGCUGCAGGCACAAGAUCUGGACUGGGUUCUGAUUCCUGUGUGGCGUCCUGGACAUUGGACACUAUGCAGAAGUCUGUCUUCAGAUGUCAUCUGGACCAUGGACAGAAUUUGUUGGCAAUGAUGUUAAGGGAUUGCCUAAACAAGGACUGUCCAACAACUGUGUAAUGUUUGUAGUGAUGUAUGCACUACUUUGUGAUGGGAGCAUCAUUUGAUUUCAGCGAGAAUGAUAUGAUGACAAUACGAAGAUGGUGGUCUCUCACUCUCUGGAGAAACUUCCCUGUGAA
This is a long non-coding RNA of Xiphophorus hellerii (green swordtail), 385 nucleotides long. RefSeq lists it as uncharacterized. The transcript has 5 exons. NCBI's taxonomy places the organism in Eukaryota, Metazoa, Chordata, Actinopteri, Cyprinodontiformes, Poeciliidae. The record is from RefSeq and is a predicted model, not a curated record.